GAUGAACGCUGGCGGCGUGCCUAAUACAUGCAAGUCGAGCGAACAGAUAAGGAGCUUGCUCCUUUGACGUUAGCGGCGGACGGGUGAGUAACACGUGGGUAACCUACCUAUAAGACUGGGAUAACUUCGGGAAACCGGAGCCAAUACCGGAUAAUAUUUCGAACCGCAUGGUUCGAUAGUGGAAGAUGGUUUUGCUAUCACUUAUAGAUGGACCCGCGCCGUAUUAGCUAGUUGGUAAGGUAACGGCUUACCAAGGCGACGAUACGUAGCCGACCUGAGAGGGUGAUCGGCCACACUGGAACUGAGACACGGUCCAGACUCCUACGGGAGGCAGCAGUAGGGAAUCUUCCGCAAUGGGCGAAAGCCUGACGGAGCAACGCCGCGUGAGUGAUGAAGGUCUUCGGAUCGUAAAACUCUGUUAUUAGGGAAGAACAUACGUGUAAGUAACUGUGCACGUCUUGACGGUACCUAAUCAGAAAGCCACGACUAACUACGUG
This 497-nucleotide ribosomal RNA is filed under the name uncultured bacterium. RNAcentral describes it as "partial 16S ribosomal RNA". It matches the Rfam family "Bacterial small subunit ribosomal RNA", at positions 28 to 507 of the family's 1533-position model. The record is from RNAcentral.